CGAUGUGAAGAGACACAUCAAUUGAUUGCCUCCCACACACAGCACUGCUUGAGUUUCUCACAACAUGGUGGCUGGAUUCCCCCAGAAAGAGAUCCAAUGGACCAAGGUAAAAGCAGAAACGGCAUUCCUGACUUAGUCUCGAAAAUCAUCCUGUCACCUGCACGGUGCUCUUGGUCACAAACCCCAGCUCCGAGUCGGUGUGGGAGGAGAGAAGACAUGAGCAUGAACACCAGGAGAGUUCCCUGCAGAAGGCGGGGGAGAGGAGUAAAGAAUAUAAUUGCUGACCAGGGAGAGAGGUUAAUCUCAGCUAUCAUCGGACCAAGAGAAGACAAAUCUACAAAAACCCUAAAAGCCCAGGCAGGUCACAUCCAUCCUUAAGAAAAGUGUUACUGCUGUGUUACGCUCUCGCUUGCAAAGUUCCCCCAUCCCAAAGUAACAGCUUCAUACCACAGUCCAGCACAGCCAUGGCGGAGAGGUUCCUCUGGGAAGACGGGUGACUUAUUCUAAAUCUCCAAGGGACAGCUCCUUAGGUUGGAGGGCGGAAUGUGCCAGCGUGCUUGUUGACUAUGUCCCGUGCGAUGUCAUGUGAAAAAAGCUGGGGCUGAAGUCUGGCCUCUCCGGCCUGGCAGACACAAACCCCGCCACUAAGCGGGCCCCCUGGCCUGGGAGAACUUGCGGCAGGAAGGACUCCUCCAGAGUCCAGCACGCAUUACCUGAGGAGGUGGGCUGGCAGCAGGAGGGGGAGCAGGUGCAGGCUGCUGUGAAUUUUGUGCUGUGUGCCCGGUGCCUUCUGUAACCCAGGAUUACAACCUAGAAGCCUAGCAGUUUGGGAGAAUUCCUGCAGCAACUUUCAGUUUUUCAGGAAGCGCAAAAGUAAUUGUUUAUUCAAAAUGAAACCUCAGGAUGACUUUUAGUUAGAAAAAAAAAUCUUGACUCUGGUU
This is a long non-coding RNA of Myotis lucifugus (little brown bat), 941 nucleotides long. RefSeq lists it as uncharacterized. Lineage: Eukaryota; Metazoa; Chordata; Mammalia; Chiroptera; Vespertilionidae. The transcript is spliced from 4 exons. The record is from RefSeq and is a predicted model, not a curated record.